CAGCACCUCAAGUGGUCAGGAUGAUUAUUGGGCCUAAAGCAUCCGUAGCCGGUUCUGUAAGUUUUCGGUUAAAUCUGUAUGCUCAACAUACAGGCUGCCGGGAAUACUGCAGAGCUAGGGAGUGGGAGAGGUAGACGGUACUCGGUAGGAAGGGGUAAAAUCCUUUGAUCUAUUGAUGACCACCUGUGGCGAAGGCGGUCUACCAGAACACGUCCGACGGUGAGGGAUGAAAGCUGGGGGAGCAAACCGGAUUAGAUACCCGAGUAGUCC
RNAcentral lists this ribosomal RNA (270 nucleotides) under uncultured archaeon. RNAcentral's name for it is "partial 16S ribosomal RNA". It matches the Rfam family "Archaeal small subunit ribosomal RNA", at positions 477 to 747 of the family's 1478-position model. The record is from RNAcentral.